UACCUGUGUUGUUUUCCCACAGAUAUCUACCCCAGGCCGAGGCCGCCGCCUCACCCGCAGCCUGGCCAUUCCGACAACGGCGGAGGUAGUUACUUCAACGACGUGGACCGCGACGACGGACGCUACCCGCCCAGGCCGAAGCCCAGGCCGCCGGCAGGAGGCGGCGGCGGCGGCGGUGGC
Non-coding RNA from Microcebus murinus (gray mouse lemur), 180 nucleotides. NCBI's taxonomy places the organism in Eukaryota, Metazoa, Chordata, Mammalia, Primates, Cheirogaleidae. The record is from RefSeq and is a predicted model, not a curated record.